RNAcentral lists this transfer RNA (85 nucleotides) under Lachnellula occidentalis. It matches the Rfam family "tRNA". From Rfam's summary of the family: Transfer RNA (tRNA) molecules are approximately 80 nucleotides in length. Their secondary structure includes four short double-helical elements and three loops (D, anti-codon, and T loops). The record is from Rfam by way of RNAcentral. Lineage: Eukaryota; Fungi; Ascomycota; Leotiomycetes; Helotiales; Lachnaceae.
GCCUUUUUAGCUCAGUGGUAGAGCGGAAGAUUGCAGUUAUUGUUUAAAUAUCUUCAGGUCACUUGUUCGAACCAGGUAGAAGGCU